AUGUCAGUCAACAGGAUGCUGUCAAAAAAAGAGGCUCAGAGGUCGUUCAGCAAUGGGCCGCUGAGAGACCGGUGGGAGCAGAGAGCCCAGAGCAUGGCAGACCAGUGCAAACAGGAGGCUGAGUGGAGAGAGAAGAGCGCCCUCAAAGGGCUGUACUCAAAGUGGACUUAUCACUGGUCGCUUGGUUCAAACGGAGACAUGUCUGACUUCAGCAAGCUCACCCGCAGGAAAGAGGAGGACGAUAACAGGCCCAAAAUUAAGUUCAAAAUUGUUCCUCCGCCACCGAAACCCAAACCGGAACCUCCUCCUCCUCCGCCUCCUCCUCGGAGGAAAGCGUCCCCUAAACCUCGCAGGCCCAAACGCAAAGUGGAGGUGGACGUGUUUCGGCUGUGCUGGAAGGAGUCGUGGAUGAGCCUGAAGCCUCCCAAGUAUCUCUACCUGAAGGCGAGAGAGCUGAGAAACACAACCUCAGGAUUCGCAGCCAUAGAGUUGAGUGAUGAAGGGAAGUACAAAGCAAAGCGGUGCCGCUCAGAGGCCGAACUGCCGUCUCCUCGGGAGAAAUGGAUCCUCUCCUGGACGCAGGUGAAGAGUCCGGCCCAGGUGAAGCCUUAUGACGGAAGCUCGUUCCAGUGGGAGAUUCUGUUUGAAAGAGAGGUGGUUUGGGAGGCAGAGAUAGGGACGUAUUCUCUUCCUGUCUGGGCUGGAACCUGGAAGAUUAUGAACUUUGCCUUCAGACAACAGAAACACAAAUGGGAUGGAAUUUGGCCUGAAAACUUUAUCAAGAAGCCUGAAAGGUUCCAGCAUCUGGAGACACAGGAUGAGCUCGCGGACUGGGAGUGUUCCUGGAAGCUGUCUGGACCAGAACUAGAAUGUGAAACCAUCACAGCCAGUGAAAGCUUGAACGCACCCUCCUCCAGCAGCACAGUGACAGUGAGGGUAGACGUGUUCCUGCCAGACUGGAGCAGCUCCUGGCUGCUCGCUGCUGCUCCUCCGGAGGAGGAUCAGGAGCGGCGGCAGAACUGGUUCUGCAGCUGGGGCUACAGGCAGCAGAUCAGGUGGCGCAAGGCUUCACUGAAGUCCCAUCAUCAGCACAGUAAGAUGUUGACGCAGAGACGAAAAGGCACAAGCCUCUUCCUUGUGUCACAGCUGGAUGACGAGAGCCCAGACGUCAUGGAAUGGAUGGAAGCAUGGAUCACUCCUAAAGGAUGUGUUGAAAUAGAAACGGAAGGACAGCAGGUUGAAGAAGAAGAAGAAGAAAAGGAAGUGGAAGUUAAGAGGAAGCAAGAGGAGGAUGAGGAUGAAGUAGACAGUGUGCUGAACAUUGAAACAUAUGAUGAGGAGGAGGAGAAAGAUGAAGGAGUAGAUGAGGAGGAAGAAGGAGAGGAGAAGAAUGAAGGGGUGGAGCAGGCAGAGGAGAAGGAGGAUGAGGUGCUGGUAUAUGUUGCUAUAAAUGAAGAAGACAAGAAAGGACUACCAAAGAAAAGGGAAGAUGUAGACAUCAGACAAUUAGAAAUGGAAAAGGAAUAUGACGAAGAUAAGGAUGAAGAGGAUGAAGGAGUAGACGAGGAGGAGGAAGGUGAGGAGGAAGAAGUAUCUGAGAAGGAAGAGGAUGCCAAUGUAGAAGAGGAGAAGAAGAAAGAUGGGGAGGACAGUGAGCAAAAAGACAAAGAGAAGGACAUAGCUGAGGAGGAUGAAGAGGAGGAGGAGGAGGAGGGGGACGAUCAAGGCAAGGAGGAUGACAGUGAGAGAAAAGUCAAAGAGGAGGAGAGGGAAGACAAUGGAGCAGAGGAGAAAGUAAACAACAGAAAUGAAAGGUGCGAGGAAGAGGAGGAGGAAGAUGACAAACAAUCAGACGUGGAUGAGACAGAUGAGGGAGAAGACAAAGACGUAGAAGUGAAAAACAAUGCUGAUGACAGAGAGGAGCAUGAUCAAGAUGAAGAUGAAGAUGUCAAGAAGAUGGACGAAGGGCAUGAAGUCCUGGAGGAGGAGGAGGAGGAGGAGGAGGAGAAGGAGGAGAAGGAGGGGGAGGAGGAGGAUUAG
This 2040-nucleotide long non-coding RNA is filed under the name Betta splendens (Siamese fighting fish). Its description in RNAcentral is "lncRNA (ENSBSLG00000013256.1)". Lineage: Eukaryota; Metazoa; Chordata; Actinopteri; Anabantiformes; Osphronemidae. The record is from RNAcentral.